Molecule: ribosomal RNA, 253 nt
Filed under: uncultured bacterium
Lineage: Bacteria
Description: partial 16S ribosomal RNA
Rfam family: Bacterial small subunit ribosomal RNA
Source: RNAcentral
UACGUAGGGUGCAAGCGUUAAUCGGAAUUACUGGGCGUAAAGCGUGCGCAGGCGGUUUUGUAAGUCUGUCGUGAAAGCCCCGGGCUCAACCUGGGAAUGGCAAUGGAUACUGGCAGGCUAGAGUGCGGUAGAGGGUAGUGGAAUUCCCGGUGUAGCGGUGAAAUGCGUAGAGAUCGGGAGGAACACCAGUGGCGAAGGCGGCUACCUGGACAAUUGCUGACGCUCAGGCACGAAAGCGUGGGGAGCAAAAGGG